UACAGAGGUGGCAAGCGUUGUUCGGAAUUACUGGGCGUAAAGGGCGCGUAGGCGGCCUUCUAAGUCAGACGUGAAAUCCCCCGGCUUAACCUGGGAACUGCGUCUGAUACUGGGAGGCUUGAGUAUGGGAGAGGGAUGUAGAAUUCCAGGUGUAGCGGUGAAAUGCGUAGAUAUCUGGAGGAAUACCGGUGGCGAAGGCGGCAUCCUGGACCAACACUGACGCUGAGUGAGCGAAAGCCAGGGGAGCAAACGGG
This 254-nucleotide ribosomal RNA is filed under the name uncultured bacterium. RNAcentral describes it as "partial 16S ribosomal RNA". It matches the Rfam family "Bacterial small subunit ribosomal RNA", at positions 524 to 776 of the family's 1533-position model. The record is from RNAcentral.